RNAcentral lists this ribosomal RNA (1113 nucleotides) under Penicillium sp. F10. RNAcentral describes it as "SSU rRNA". It matches the Rfam family "Eukaryotic small subunit ribosomal RNA", at positions 39 to 1161 of the family's 1831-position model. Lineage: Eukaryota; Fungi; Ascomycota; Eurotiomycetes; Eurotiales; Aspergillaceae. The record is from RNAcentral.
AAAGAUUAAGCCAUGCAUGUCUAAGUAUAAGCAACUUGUACUGUGAAACUGCGAAUGGCUCAUUAAAUCAGUUAUCGUUUAUUUGAUAGUACCUUACUACAUGGAUACCUGUGGUAAUUCUAGAGCUAAUACAUGCUAAAAACCCCGACUUCAGGAAGGGGUGUAUUUAUUAGAUAAAAAACCAACGCCCUUCGGGGCUCCUUGGUGAAUCAUAAUAACUUAACGAAUCGCAUGGCCUUGCGCCGGCGAUGGUUCAUUCAAAUUUCUGCCCUAUCAACUUUCGAUGGUAGGAUAGUGGCCUACCAUGGUGGCAACGGGUAACGGGGAAUUAGGGUUCGAUUCCGGAGAGGGAGCCUGAGAAACGGCUACCACAUCCAAGGAAGGCAGCAGGCGCGCAAAUUACCCAAUCCCGAUACGGGGAGGUAGUGACAAUAAAUACUGAUACGGGGCUCUUUUGGGUCUCGUAAUUGGAAUGAGAACAAUUUAAAUCCCUUAACGAGGAACAAUUGGAGGGCAAGUCUGGUGCCAGCAGCCGCGGUAAUUCCAGCUCCAAUAGCGUAUAUUAAAGUUGUUGCAGUUAAAAAGCUCGUAGUUGAACCUUGGGUCUGGCUGGCCGGUCCGCCUCACCGCGAGUACUGGUCCGGCUGGACCUUUCCUUCUGGGGAACCUCAUGGCCUUCACUGGCUGUGGGGGGAACCAGGACUUUUACUGUGAAAAAAUUAGAGUGUUCAAAGCAGGCCUUUGCUCGAAUACAUUAGCAUGGAAUAAUAGAAUAGGACGUGUGGUUCUAUUUUGUUGGUUUCUAGGACCGCCGUAAUGAUUAAUAGGGAUAGUCGGGGGCGUCAGUAUUCAGCUGUCAGAGGUGAAAUUCUUGGAUUUGCUGAAGACUAACUACUGCGAAAGCAUUCGCCAAGGAUGUUUUCAUUAAUCAGGGAACGAAAGUUAGGGGAUCGAAGACGAUCAGAUACCGUCGUAGUCUUAACCAUAAACUAUGCCGACUAGGGAUCGGACGGGAUUCUAUAAUGACCCGUUCGGCACCUUACGAGAAAUCAAAGUUUUUGGGUUCUGGGGGGAGUAUGGUCGCAAGGCUGAAACUUAAAGAAAUUGACGGAA